Molecule: long non-coding RNA, 3865 nt
Filed under: Marmota monax (woodchuck)
Lineage: Eukaryota; Metazoa; Chordata; Mammalia; Rodentia; Sciuridae
Source: RNAcentral
CACAGCCUUUGUCUUAGAUGCUCAGAAGCCCUGGGUUCAAGCUCCAGUACCAAGGAAAAGAGAGAAAGAGAGAGAGAGAGAGAGGGAGAGAGAGACUUCUUGUGGACUUUCUGUUUUGAAUCUUCUGUAUACGGACAACUCCUCAUGUCAAACUUUAUCAUAUCCCUAGGUUCAUAUUUUCACUCCACUGGUGACAAGUUAAUGCAGGCAGAGCACUAUUCUAGGUAAAAAUUGACUAUGCAGGUGAAAUCCUGCUGACUCCAGUCUCCUGGCCAACAUUUGGAUUUUCUGAGCCUUCAUUAACCCACAAGGUGUCGACAGAGAUUCUAAAGACCUGGUGAAUUUCUUUCUUUUUUCUAAGAAGUGCAGUUUUUCACCCUGAAGAACAAAGUCCAGAAGUUGGAACUGCUUUUGGCCACCAGAUAAUGGUCAAUGAAUACUGAAUUAAUUGACGAAAUACCGAGUUUGUGAAAUAGAGUUUGCAGAGGAAACCAAAUUCUGGAUAGAAUGUAUGGCACCCUGGGUUACUUAAGUCCAGGACAAAACCUCCAAAGCUUUGAUCUUUGUUGGUGUCAGAGAAGGACCUUUACUCCAUCUCCAGAAUUGGAAGAGGCCAUAGCACCUGGCAUCUCAGUAAGUUCCUGCAAGGAACCCUGGACGGUGUGAAGCACACACGGAGGAGGCGCUGGUGCCGGCUCCUCACCCACCCCUUAUGGAGCCAUGCAAUGAUUCCCACAGCAAAUGAUGCACCUCGCCCACCUGUGAGCAGUCAGUCACCUUCAAGAUCCUUCAGGGGCAGUGAGCAAACCCUUAGGUUUGCAUAGCAUCUCUUCUACAACUGCAUGUUUUCCAGGUUAGUUCUGGCCACACCCCCUGAUUCUCCUCGGAGAAGGAAUUACCAAGCUGCUGGGUAAAGUCCCAGGAUCUGGGGCCUCAGGGCCGUGACAAGGAUGUUGGGUGGUGGCCUCUCUGGGUUUCCAUCUAUUUGACUAGAAAUAUAAACCUUUCAGAUUGCCCCUGGCAAAGGGUCAAAGGGUAGGUAUGCUUGCAAGAAAGGGAGACUAAGAGAAAGGCUGUAAGAACCUCUGUCCUUAUUCUUGGGAGGGGAUGAAGGACUUUAAUUCUGCUCCUUCAUUUCUAGGUGGCUGAGGAGCCUCCCUGAACUACCUCACUUCCAUCUCCAGCUCCAACUCCACCCAGCCAGCCCUUUUCACCUCUCCAAACACCUGCUUUUCAGUAAGAAGCCCCACCCCACCCAGAACAUGGAGUUCUUUCCAGUCUGGGAGACGCACCUUGGAGCGAGGGAGGGCUGUCACAUUUGGAAAAGAGGAGGAGGAAGAAGAUGACUAUUUUAUUGUUCCACUCAUGUACUCUGACUCCCACCUUUGUCAAAUAGCUGAUGGAGCAGCUUUUGAAAAUAGUGUAAAAUGAAACCUUGCUGCCCUGAUUUGGUCAGCCUUUGUGAACUGUCCCCUGCAACUUGGCCCCUCUCCUUCAACAACACCACACAUUGGCGGGUGGGGGGAGGUGGUGGUGGCAGGCACUAUGCUCCGCUCAGGGGCUGGAGUUCAUGCUUCACUGAGGGCGACAGGGAUGCUUUAGAUGAUAGUGAGUGGUGGAAAUAGUCACUCUCCCUUCUGAGAAUUGGAAACGACAUCCUAUUUAAAACAAUGGUUCUUGGCGUUUACCUGCUUUCCUAAAGAGGUCCCACCUGCCUGUCCUCUUGAGACCUCCUGGGGUGCACAGGAGGAGAGUGGAGAGUGUUCCAUUUCUGUGGACCAAGAAAUCCCAUCAUAUCACACUCCCUGUCCACUGGGAUCCCCAAGAUGACAUCAGUGGGCAGGAUGGCAGGAGAGCUUGCCCUGUAGGACAUUUUUCUUCAAGGAGACAUAGCCUGUGGCUCAACAAAGGCUUCUGGGAGGUGAGUGGAGUUCAGGAUAUGCUGGUGAGCCCAUGGGACGGUCACUCCUGUUGUGGCUACACUGGAGUUGAGCAAUGGUCUUAAUGUAGACAGACAACUGAAGAGUUCCUUAGUUAAUUUUUCAUGAAAGGGUAUAAUUGGAAAUUUAUAUCCAAGUCGUUGAUUACCAGUUAACAAUAAAAAGGAACAAAGGGUUGAUAUUUGCAAAAAUUUGGGUGGAUCUGAAGGUGACUAUGCUGAAUGAAAAGAGCCAGUCUCGAAAGAUUGCAUGCUACAUAUUGUAGGAUUCCAUUUUUUGUUUGUUUUCUACAUUAAAUUCUAUGAAAUAAUGUCUCUUUACAAAACAAUCUGUGAAUGAAACAAACUUGAUUUUUAAAGGCAAAAGGUAUAAGGAGAGCUGCUACAAAACCCACCAGUCACCAAACUGAAUACUCUUACUGGUUUUAUAUCACAAAAUGAAGUUAAGCUCUAAUCUGAUCCCAGUGUUGAACUCACCUGAUAUGCCUUCUUUGUAGGAUUUCAUUUUCUUGGUUGUUAGUUUUGUUUGUUUGUUUGUUUGUUUGUUUUUGGUAUGGGGGAUUGAACCCAGGGGUACUCUACCACUAAGUCACAUCCCCAGUCCUUUUUUUUUUGUUUUUUUUUUUUUUUUUUUUUUUUUUUUUUUUUUUUUUUUUUUUUUUUUUUUUUUUUUUUUUUUUUUUUUAAUACACCUUCUCACUAAGUUGCUGAGGCUGCUGUCCAAUUCAUGAUCCUCCUGCCUCAGGCUCCUGAGCCGCUGGGAUUACAGGCAUGGGCCACUACACCCAGCCCUGUUGCAUUCUUGAAAUGCAGAGAUUCUGGAGAUGAAGAACCCCAUUAGUGACAGGAAUUAGGGAUUGUGAGGAAAGACUGGGGAAGGCCACGGAAGACCAGUACUAGGAAACCCUGUGGUGAUGAAGCAAUUAGGGAUCUUGAAUGUGGUUAUGCACUGCUGCAUAGGUGAUAAAAUUGUAUAAAGCCACACACACACACACACACACACACACACGAGUACCUGUAAAACUGGUAGCCCAAAUUAGCUUUGAAUUGUACCAAUAUCAAUUUCCUGGUUUUGAUAGUGCACUAUCAUUAUACAAGGUGGCAGGGUGAAGAGUGUGUGGGGACUUCCUUGUAACAUUUUUAUGGUGGUAAAAUACCUGUAACAUAAACUUUACCAUUUUAAUUAUUUUUUACAUACACAGUUUGGUGGAGCUAAAACUUGGAUCUUAAGUAUUCCAUAGAAGCCAUGUGUUGAAGGCUUGGAGUGCUAUUGGGAGGUGGUGGAACAUUUAGGAAUUUAGGUGACUAAGGGUGUGCCCUUGAAGGGGACAUGGGGACUUGGGCCCCUGCCUGUUUCUCUCUUUGAUUCCUGGCCGCCUUGAGUUUAUCUGUUUCCUUCACCAUGUGCUCCUUACACAGGUCCAAAAGCAAUGGAACCAGUGAUCAUGGACUAAGACCUCUGAAGUCUGGGAGCCCAAAUAAGACUUUCUGCCUUAUAAGUUGAUUCUUUCUAGUAUUUUGUCACAGUAAUGGAAAGCUGACUAACAGGUGGGAUUUAUUACUUUACAUUAUGGUACAAUAGACUUGACCUUCCACCUCUAGAACUUUUUAUCAUCCCACACUGAAACUCCAAACCCAUUAAACAACUCCCUAAUCUCUCUCCCCCAACCCCUGAAAACCACCAUUCUACUUUCCAUUUAUUUGAAUUUGACUAUUCUAGAUAUCUCAUAUAAAUGACAUCAUACAAUAUUUGUUGAUUUAUGACUGGAUUGUCUCCCUUAGCUGAAUGUCUGAGGGGUUCAUCCAUCAGAAUUUCCUUCCUUUUUAAGACUGAAUAACAUCCCGUAUUCUGUUUGUCCACUCAUUUAUUGGUGGCAAUUUUAGUUUCCACCUUUUAGAUGCUGUUAUCCUCUCAAAUUGUUUUUU